RNAcentral lists this long non-coding RNA (357 nucleotides) under Capsella rubella. RNAcentral's name for it is "long non-coding RNA (CRUB_LNC004680)". The record is from RNAcentral. Lineage: Eukaryota; Viridiplantae; Streptophyta; Magnoliopsida; Brassicales; Brassicaceae.
UAUUCUGCUUUUCUUUAGCCAGUCCUCAUUUUAUUUAAAAGUGGAAUGCAGGUAACGUGUGGAACCCUCGGGCUUUCAACAGCAACUGUAAAACUUGCUGACGCUGAUGGCAAAGAGCAUGUCGCUUGUUCUAUGGGAACUGGGCCUGUCGAUUCAGCAUACAAGGCAGUCAAUCUUAUUGUAAAGGUACUUUUUUAUACAACUGAGGCUCUCAUUUACAUAUAAUUCACCUGUCCAUUAUCGGUUAUGUGAAACUUUUUUCCCCCUACAGGAACCAGCGACGCUGCUUGAGUACUCGAUGAAUGCAGUAACACAAGGCAUCGAUGCUAUCGCAACCACACGAGUCCUCAUCCGCGG